UACAGAGGGUGCAAGCGUUAAUCGGAAUUACUGGGCGUAAAGCGCGCGUAGGCGGCUGUCUAAGUCGGAUGUGAAAUCCCCGGGCUUAACCUGGGAACUGCAUUCGAUACUGGGCGGCUAGAGUAUGAGAGAGGGAGGUAGAAUUCCACGUGUAGCGGUGAAAUGCGUAGAUAUGUGGAGGAAUACCGGUGGCGAAGGCGGCCUCCUGGCUUAAUACUGACGCUGAGGUGCGAAAGCGUGGGGAGCAAACAGG
This 253-nucleotide ribosomal RNA is filed under the name uncultured bacterium. Its description in RNAcentral is "partial 16S ribosomal RNA". It matches the Rfam family "Bacterial small subunit ribosomal RNA", at positions 524 to 776 of the family's 1533-position model. RNAcentral also lists the same sequence under 2 other names. The record is from RNAcentral.